Molecule: ribosomal RNA, 167 nt
Filed under: Vibrio parahaemolyticus
Lineage: Bacteria; Pseudomonadati; Pseudomonadota; Gammaproteobacteria; Vibrionales; Vibrionaceae
Description: partial 16S ribosomal RNA
Rfam family: Bacterial small subunit ribosomal RNA
Source: RNAcentral
UUAAAUUGAAGAGUUUGAUCAUGGCUCAGAUUGAACGCUGGCGGCAGGCCUAACACAUGCAAGUCGAGCGGAAACGAGUUAUCUGAACCUUCGGGGAACGAUAACGGCGUCGAGCGGCGGACGGGUGAGUAAUGCCUAGGAAAUUGCCCUGAUGGUGGGGGAAAACC